UGGCUCAGAACGAACGCUGGCGGCGUGGCUAAGACAUGCAAGUCGAACGGACCGGUCAAUUGGGUAACCGAGAGGCCGGUUAGUGGCGAAAGGGUGCGGAAUAAGUAGGUAACGUGCCCUGCACUACAGGAUAGCGUCUGGAACUUCGGUUCCUUCCGAAAGGGGCGGUAAUACUGUAUAAUGUCAUGAAACAUAAGUUUUAUGACCAAAGAUUUAUCGGUGCAGGAGCGGCCUAUUUCCUAUCAGCUUGUUGGUGAGGUAACGGCUCACCAAGGCAGCGACGGGUAGCGGGACUGAGAGGUUGACCCGCCACAUCGGGACUGAGACACUGCCCGGACCUCCACGGAGGGCUGCAGUAACGAAUAUUGCGCAAUGGACGAAAGUCUGACGCAGCAACGCCGCGUGUAGGAUGAAGCCCUUCGGGGUGUAAACUACUGUCAGGGGUCAGAAAGUGCGCUUCGGCGUAUUGAUCAGCCCCAGAGGAAGUCACGGCUAACUUCGCGCCAGCAGCCGCGGUAAUACGAAGGUGGCGAGCGUUGUUCGGAAUCACUGGGCUUAAAGCGCGCGUAGGCGGAAUGGCAUGUGCUUUGUGAAAUCCCACGGCUUAACCGUGGAAUUGCUUGGCAAACUGCUAUUCUUGAGGCAAGCAGGGGUGUAUGGAACUCUUGGUGGAGCGGUGGAAUGCGUAGAUAUCAAGAGGAACGCCAAUGGCGAAGGCAGUACACUGGGCUUGUCCUGACGCUGAGGUGCGAAAGCGUGGGGAGCGAACGGGAUUAGAUACCCCGGUAGUCCACGCUGUAAACGAUGUCUACUAGGUUGUGGAAGUUCUGACGCUUUCACGGCCGAAGCAAAAGUGUUAAGUAGACCGCCUGGGGAGUACGGUCGCAAGGCUAAAACUCAAAGGAAUUGACGGGGGCUCACACAAGCGGUGGAGCAUGUGGAUUAAUUCGAAGCAACGCGCAGAACCUUACCUGGGUUUGACAUGCUUGGAUGCCUGCCUGGAAACAGGUUAGGUUGCCCCUCGGGGUGAAACUUGCACAGGUGCUGCAUGGCUGUCGUCAGCUCGUGUCGUGAGAUGUCGGGUUAAGUCCUUUAACGAGCGAAACCCUUGCCGUUAGUUGCCAGCGAGUAAUGUCGGGGACUCUAACGGGACUGCCGGUGUUAAACCGGAGGAAGGUGGGGAUGACGUCAAGUCCUCAUGGCCUUUAUGCCCAGGGCUUCACACGUGCUACAAUGGCGUAUACAAAGCGAUGCGACACCGCGAGGUGGAGCAAAUCGCACAAAAGACGCCUCAGUUCGGAUUGCAGGCUGACAACUCGCCUGCAUGAAGUUGGAAUCGCUAGUAAUCGCGUAUCAGCUAUGACGCGGUGAAUGUGUUCCUGAGCCUUGUACACACCGCCCGUCAAGUGAUGGGAAUCGGGAGUACCCGAAGUCGGGUUGCUAACCUUAGGGAGGCGCCUGCCGACGGUAAGCUCGAUGACUGGCACUAAGUCG
This 1494-nucleotide ribosomal RNA is filed under the name uncultured organism. Its description in RNAcentral is "bacterial SSU rRNA". It matches the Rfam family "Bacterial small subunit ribosomal RNA". The record is from RNAcentral.